Molecule: ribosomal RNA, 253 nt
Filed under: uncultured bacterium
Lineage: Bacteria
Description: partial 16S ribosomal RNA
Rfam family: Bacterial small subunit ribosomal RNA
Source: RNAcentral
UACGGAGGGUGCAAGCGUUAUCCGGAAUCACUGGGUUUAAAGGGUGCGUAGGCGGCUUAAUAAGUCAGAGGUGAAAGGCUGUGGCUCAACCAUGGGAUUGCCUUUGAUACUGUUAGGCUUGAAUCAGGCUGAGGUUGGCAGAAUGUGGCAUGUAGCGGUGAAAUGCAUAGAUAUGCCAUAGAAUACCGAUUGAGAAGGCAGCUGACUGACCCUUGAUUGACGCUGAGGCACGAAAGCGUGGAGAGCGAACAGC